Molecule: ribosomal RNA, 450 nt
Filed under: uncultured bacterium
Lineage: Bacteria
Description: partial 16S ribosomal RNA
Rfam family: Bacterial small subunit ribosomal RNA
Source: RNAcentral
GUGGGGAAUUUUGGACAAUGGGCGCAAGCCUGAUCCAGCAAUGCCGCGUGUGUGAAGAAGGCCUUCGGGUUGUAAAGCACUUUUGUCCGGAAAGAAAUCUCCUGGGUUAAUACCUCGGGGGGAUGACGGUACCGGAAGAAUAAGCACCGGCUAACUACGUGCCAGCAGCCGCGGUAAUACGUAGGGUGCGAGCGUUAAUCGGAAUUACUGGGCGUAAAGCGUGCGCAGGCGGCUCUGCAAGACAGAUGUGAAAGCCCCGGGCUCAACCUGGGAACUGCAUUUGUGACUGCAAGGCUAGAGUGCGUCAGAGGGAGGUGGAAUUCCGCGUGUAGCAGUGAAAUGCGUAGAGAUGCGGAGGAACACCAGUGGCGAAGGCGGCUUCCUGGCACAAUACUGACGCUCAUGUGCGAAAGCUAGGGCAGCGAACGGGAUUAGAUACCCCGGUAGUCC